AACGAACGCUGGCGGCAGGCCUAACACAUGCAAGUCGAACGCGUCCUUCGGGACGAGUGGCAGACGGGUGAGUAACGCGUGGGAACGUACCCUUUGGUUCGGAACAACAGCGGGAAACUGCUGCUAAUACCGGAUAAGCCCUUCGGGGGAAAGAUUUAUCGCCAGAGGAUCGGCCCGCGUUAGAUUAGCUUGUUGGUGAGGUAAUGGCUCACCAAGGCUACGAUCUAUAGCUGGUCUGAGAGGAUGAUCAGCCACACUGGGACUGAGACACGGCCCAGACUCUUACGGGAGGCAGCAGUGGGGAAUCUUGGACAAUGGGCGAAAGCCUGAUCCAGCCAUGCCGCGUGAAUGAUGAAGGCCCUAGGGUUGUAAAAUUCUUUCGACGGGGAAGAUAAUGACGGUACCUGUAGAAUAAGCCCCGGACUAACUUCGUGCCAGCAGCCGCGGUAAU
RNAcentral lists this ribosomal RNA (451 nucleotides) under uncultured bacterium. RNAcentral's name for it is "bacterial SSU rRNA". It matches the Rfam family "Bacterial small subunit ribosomal RNA", at positions 29 to 524 of the family's 1533-position model. The record is from RNAcentral.